Molecule: long non-coding RNA, 2012 nt
Filed under: Coturnix japonica (Japanese quail)
Lineage: Eukaryota; Metazoa; Chordata; Aves; Galliformes; Phasianidae
Description: lncRNA (ENSCJPG00005007241.1)
Source: RNAcentral
CUCUGAGUGGCAGCUCUUACUGCCUGGGAACAGACUCAUGUGGCCCAGUCAGGAGGAUGACAGCUCUGCACCACCGCAGGGAGUUCCUCUGGGGCCCAGUCCGAAGCACCGGUCUGGCAGCUGCGACGUACCAAUGCUUCCUGCUCCCUACUGAUGUCACUUGGAGAUCUGAUUGUCAACAUCACAAAAACAGCACCAGGAAAAGCCACAAGCCCCGAACGACUGAAAGUUGGAGGAUUUCUUUUCAGGAUGUUCAUUUUUCACUGGUUUAUCAGUCUCUGCUUUUAUGGAUCACUGGGGAUAUAAGGACGAGUUCAGCUCCCAUCAUCCUUCUCCGUUUAGCUGAUAGAAUUGAUAGUUGGAUGCACCAUGAACAAAUAUGUAGGAUAAAUUACCUCCAGCAAGCUGCCAAAGACGCAGUCCAUAUCCAAGUGGUCUAUAAAUGCAAAGAGAACAACACAGUGUCUCUCCUUCUGCAUCUGAUGGUUCAACAGCUUAUGAUCAGAUAUGUUCAAACAUGAGAGGUCUUUAGCUGCCCUUUAAUAAUCAUGGAGAUGGCCACAUUCAACCCUCCAGCGACUCUACUGGAUUAGGUGGAGUUCACAGCAGAGAUGGAUUUGACCUAGUAAGUAUAGCAGUGGUCUUUUGGGUUUGCUUUACAUAGCACGCAAAGAAGCUCUUCAAAGGUUUGUGGUGCAACAUGACCUUGACUUCAACUCUCAUUUUAAUGGCUACUUGGAAGAUGACAAAGACCACACUCUUUGGGAGAUUGCCGUAGGGUGAGAAGCUUCAAAACCACAUGGCCAAAUCUGAGCGUAAGUGAAGUCUGUGCAGCCCACACAACUGCAGUGGCAGCUGUCGGAAGUAUGCCAGAGAAAGCCAUGCUCCUGGCUGACAACUGGAGGGCAGGGAGUCUGAAGCACAACUUAAAGCAAUAAUGUUCCUUUGAUUGGUAUCCAAAAUUGGUGACUGCUUCCUUUCAGGAUGAGCAUGCUGUGCCUAGAGAGAUGCUGAUAAUCUCUUGAAACAACUGCAGUCCGCAUGGAUUGAUGGGCUGAUAGGCACUGUGAUCCAUACGCUGUAGUACUUCAAGCACUUGGUUUUGAUGAAUUUGGGUGUUUCCCUUGUUUGAGGGAGGAGCCAGUCAUUUUGUAAUGAUUUCCUGGCCACUGAGCGGUGUGCUUUGAAGCAGCAAAAAUUCACUCUUAACACAUUUUCAGAAGGAAUUUUCUCCCUGCAUUGACCAGGAUCACACGUCAUCCCUCUCUGCCUCAGUCUGUCCUCAUAAUCAAGUUCACUCUCAGUAGCGCGUAUUUUAUUAAAUUUAGUUGUGAGAAUGUCACCAAUUAUGAAGGAGAAAGCAAGAGUGAAGGUUAGGGGGGAAAGGUGAAGGUUAAAUUCAGACAUUCAUGAGUUUAUGGGGCAGUUUGUCCUCAAAUCAAAGCCAGGCAUUCAUGUCAAGCUACAUAAACAGGAACGAAUGUUCGUGUGAAACUUGCUAAGGAAGCAAAAACCCAUAAGAAUAUUUGCCACCAAUGCUUUCUUCUGCCUUUCCCUCCUCUUGGCCCAAAGAAAGGAGAUUGCUCAGAGCAUGUUGCUAUCCCAGACAGUGCAAUCAUUCUGAAGACCCCAAAAAAAUCCCUGCUAGAUGACACACGUUCAUGGCCAGCACCCUGCUGAGCGCAGUCUGCAGACUGACAGGAGCAGGAUCCCAGAGCAGAGGUGUGUGCCCAGUGCUGGGAUCACGAGGGCAUCUCCUAGUCUUUCCUGAGGUGUCCAAGGACGGUUUUUCUCAGUGUUGCACCCUGUAAAAUGUUCAGUUGAAGGCAGAAUUUUGGGAAGGGAUGGGAAAACUGGUGAGAACAUUUUUUAGAGAGCAAACGAUCCUCACAUCCCCAGCUACCUUCUAUUUACCAAACAGAAGUUUCCCUGUGUGAUACAUUUCUUAAAUUAUAGGUUUCCCAUUUCCUGGCAUCCUAAUAAAGUCUAGAUGAAUGAUGAGAGAGUCUGCA